ACUAGUUACAACGUUGGAGCAAAUCUAGGUCAGAGAAACUUCAGCAUGACUUAUUGCAAGCCCAUGAUAUAAAUCAUCCAGGAGAGGCCAGGGAAGACCAGCUUCUGAGCUUAUUUAUUGUAGAAAAGAUUGGCAUUAAUGAGCUGGAGGAGCAGAACGCAUCCAUCAGGGCUGAAAACACCAGCCUGUCCUUCAAGGGAGUGAGAUGAAAGAAAACAAGUGGCAUCCAGAGGAACUUCACAAUCCUCUCUCUAAUGGGGACUGCAAGGAGCUGAUGAAUGUAAAGCUGAGAUUUUCCCUGAGAAUCUGGAAGUGAAGCUGAAAUCGCUUCAGUGAAAAGUGAGCCAGCAU
RNAcentral lists this long non-coding RNA (351 nucleotides) under Serinus canaria (Common canary). RNAcentral's name for it is "lncRNA (ENSSCAG00000014357.1)". Lineage: Eukaryota; Metazoa; Chordata; Aves; Passeriformes; Fringillidae. The record is from RNAcentral.